UACGUAGGUCCCGAGCGUUGUCCGGAUUUAUUGGGCGUAAAGCGAGCGCAGGUGGUUUAUUAAGUCUGGUGUAAAAGGCAGUGGCUCAACCAUUGUAUGCAUGGGAAACUGGUAGACUUGAGUGCAGGAGAGGAGAGUGGAAUUCCAUGUGUAGCGGUGAAAUGCGUAGAUAUAUGGAGGAACACCGGUGGCGAAAGCGGCUCUCUGGCCUGUAACUGACACUGAGGCUCGAAAGCGUGGGGAGCAAACAGG
Molecule: ribosomal RNA, 252 nt
Filed under: uncultured bacterium
Lineage: Bacteria
Description: partial 16S ribosomal RNA
Rfam family: Bacterial small subunit ribosomal RNA
Source: RNAcentral